This 1133-nucleotide long non-coding RNA is filed under the name Piliocolobus tephrosceles (Ugandan red Colobus). Its description in RNAcentral is "lncRNA (ENSPTEG00000005820.1)". Lineage: Eukaryota; Metazoa; Chordata; Mammalia; Primates; Cercopithecidae. The record is from RNAcentral.
CAACAAAAUUCGCAAUAACAGUUACAACAAUAAGGAUAAUUUUUGCACCCAAACCUGUGUCAGUCCCAGUGAUAAUACGAUGCAAGGAGAAUCCUUAUACUCUACUCAACAAACAAAUGCGCAUAUUAUGCCUUUUUCAAAAGAAUUACCACUUAAAAUAAACAAAGAAGAAACAAAGAAAAAUACAAAUAUUAUUGCGAAUAAAAACAACCACUCUAACAUUAAUAAAACAGGAAGUUGCGACAACUGCUUAAUCUCAAGUAGUCCCGAAAAAAUAGAUCUAUUAUCACUUAAAAUGGAAAAAGAAAAAACAAACAAACUAUUAAAUAAUCAACAAAGCUGUAUCAGUCAUUCACUGAACAUAUUGAAAUAUAACAGUUGUAUGGUUACAAGUAAUAAUAAUUGUUCAGGUAACAUGUCGAAGGAAAUGAUAUGGGUAACAGGCGAUGCAAAUGGUUUUAACAAUAAUCCAAAAUAUUAUGAUAAAAACAACGUACAGGAUAUCCAAAUAGAUAAUACAUGUGGGGAAAGAACUACAAACUGUUGUGAAGAGCCGAAAGAACACGAGACUAAAACCUUGAGCUUAAUAAGUAACGAAACAACUCGCAUAAACAACCGAAACAAGACAAUAGAAUACAAUGAGAUAGGUAAUAAUAAUAUUAAUUGGGAUAGUGUUUAUCCUAACAACAUUAUUGUUAAAGAUAUAGAAGAAAUAAACAAACGUAAAUUAUUUUUUGAGGAGAUAUAUAUAUUCCGAAUAAAUGAACACAAUGAACAAAAUAAUGAUAAUAAUUGUGAUAACUCUGCUGAAAAGCAAAAAGAAAAAGGUAUUUUAGGGGGAAUCGCACGAGGUAAUGGUGGUUUUAUUAAACGACGUGAAUACACUAGCGAAAACGAAGGUGUGAACACACGUAAUCCUUUUAAUAUUGUUUCAGAUGAUGAAUAUAGUAAAAACGAAUUUGAAAUGGGAAACCAGAAUUAUGAAAAGAUAUAUGAAGAACUUAAAAAUUUAAUGAAAGAAGAAGAAACGUAUUCAAUCGAAAUGAAUGCUGGGUUAGUUUUUAAAAACUAUAUUAAUAUAUUUAUUAGUUUUACAUGUAAUUAUUUAAUUCUGAAAAAAAAUGACAAAAACA